GAGGAUGCGAGCGUUAUCCGGAUUUAUUGGGUUUAAAGGGUGCGUAGGCUGACCGUCAAGUCAGCGGUAAAAUAGGGAGGCUCAACCUCUUUGUGCCGUUGAAACUGGCGGUCUAGAGUGAGCGAGAAGUAUGCGGAAUGCGAGGUGUAGCGGUGAAAUGCAUAGAUAUCACGCAGAACUCCGACUGCGAAGGCAGCAUACCGGCGCUCAACUGACGCUGAGGCACGAAAGCGUGGGGAUC
This 241-nucleotide ribosomal RNA is filed under the name uncultured bacterium. RNAcentral's name for it is "partial 16S ribosomal RNA". It matches the Rfam family "Bacterial small subunit ribosomal RNA", at positions 528 to 769 of the family's 1533-position model. The record is from RNAcentral.